GGUUAGUGUCCUCCGACUCCCCAGUUCAUGAAAACUGCUCGAAAACCCCAAGCACAGCGCAACCGACCCAAACACCAUCACAUCAUCACCCGAACCCACAUCCUCCCCCAAUUUCUUAGCCUCCAAGAGCCUCCUCCCCAUUCCCAGUAAUACAUCAAACAUGCUACUCUUAAUCUUCCCCACCUGUCUCUUAGAAGCCGACCCUUUCUUCUCUUAUCUCUCCCUCACCUGCAAACCAUAAAGGAAGAAGCUCAAAGUUUUGGUUCUAAGCAACAUCACCACGAAUAUCGGGAAGCCGAGAUACUCUUCAUCCUCUCUUUACUACAGAAGAAUUUUGGAGAUUCAUUGUUACCGUGGAAGCUCUUGCAUGGAAAUUUCUUAACAGAUUGCAGCAUACAAGGAAAAGCAUUCUCAUAGCCAAAAAAAUUCAGAGAUGAAUUUCAAAAGAGCUGUUAUGUUGUCUAGAACAAGGCGUGUCCCUGUGGAAUAGAGAAUUAUUACAUUAUAAGCACUAAACAAUCCCUUAACUUCAUGAAGUUCUGCACCAAGGCAAGGUUGUUGACAAUAGGAGAUGCCUAUUAUCAGGAGCACUUGGAACAAUGAUUGACUAUAUGCUUCAAUAGGUCCACAUGAUUGAAGAAGGGAUGCAUUUCUUACCAGAUUCACUUCAUCUCUCUACUUGAAUGUCUUCAAUGGUGUGGUUAUGAACUACCCUUUCAUCUGUUAAAUGUCUUCAAUGGUGUGGUUAAGAACUACCUUAAAUUCCUUUGUUGUAUUUAGGUAACUUCUAAUAUGUUUAGGGUUAGGGAUAUGGGUUUAAUUGAUUGAUGUAAUGAGUUCUACUAAUACAUUUUCAAUUGUUACUUUGUAAAUG
This 874-nucleotide long non-coding RNA is filed under the name Rosa chinensis. Its description in RNAcentral is "sRNA RchiOBHm_Chr7g0210021". The record is from RNAcentral. Lineage: Eukaryota; Viridiplantae; Streptophyta; Magnoliopsida; Rosales; Rosaceae.